GGCUCCUUGUGAUAAAAAAAUAAGGAGUCGGACCUGCCCAGUGAAUUUUUUUUUAACGGCCGCGGUACUCUGACCGUGCAAAGGUAGCAUAAUCAUUUGCCUUAUAAUUGAAGGCUUGUAUGAAUGGUUUGACAAGAAUGAAGCUGUCUCUUUAUAAUUAAUUUGAAUUUUAUUUAUAGGUGAAGAAGCCUAUAUAACAUUGAAAGACAAGAAGACCCUAUCGAGCUUUAAAAAAAUUAAUAAAUUAAAAAAUUAAUAUUAAAUAUAAAUUUCAUUAUUAAGUCAUUUUAGUUGGGGCGACUAAGGAACAAAUAAAGCUUCCUCUAUAUAUGUUAAGACAUUCAGGUUUUUGAUCCAAAAAUUUUGAUUAAAGGAAUUAGUUACCGUAGGGAUAACAGCAUUAUCUUUUUUGAGAGCUCUAAUCGAAAAAAAGGUUUGUGACCUCGAUGUUGGACCAGAAUAUCCUAAAGAUGCAGCCGUCUUUAAGGGUUGGUCUGUUCGACCAUUAAAAUUCUACGUGAUCUGAGUUCAGACCGGCGUGAGCCAGGUCAGUUUCUAUCUUCAAUUUCUAUAAUAAGCUUAGUACGAAAGGACCAGUUUAUUGUAAAAUAUUUACUUUAUUUGAUAAAAUAUAAAGUUCUAUUAAAUUUAUAAUAAAAUAUGCAAGAUCAUGUAUCAAAUUAGCAAAGAUUUAAUGCAAUUGACUUAGGAUCAAUAGACAUAGGUGAAAUUCCUUUAUUUGAUAGAUAAAGGUGGCAGAUGAA
This 764-nucleotide ribosomal RNA is filed under the name Eupleura nitida. RNAcentral's name for it is "partial 16S ribosomal RNA". The stretch from base 1 to 587 matches the Rfam family "Bacterial large subunit ribosomal RNA", at positions 1817 to 2925 of the family's 2925-position model. The record is from RNAcentral. Lineage: Eukaryota; Metazoa; Mollusca; Gastropoda; Neogastropoda; Muricidae.